This is a long non-coding RNA of Globicephala melas (long-finned pilot whale), 439 nucleotides long. RefSeq lists it as uncharacterized. The record is from RefSeq and is a predicted model, not a curated record. Lineage: Eukaryota; Metazoa; Chordata; Mammalia; Artiodactyla; Delphinidae.
GCAUCCGCUUCUCUCAGCCCCUGGUGUGGCGGGCUCGUCACCCGUUGCCCGUUUCUCUCAGCAAAUUAACAGUUUCCUAGUAUUUUGUGAUUGUAAGAAGAACACUGCUUUUUAAAAAAAUGCCUACUCCCUGCAACUGUCCAGUAUUUUUUGGCAUCCCUUAAAUUUUACAUUAAGGGCAGAUGUCUCACUCGCCAGGCUUCCUCACCCUAGACCUGGUCCUACCAUGAAGAGUCAACUUACUUCACAGAUUAACAUGGUGUCUGACUCAAACUGUACGCGGGCCUCUCAUUGUUGUGGCCUCUCCCGUUGCGGAGCACAGGCUCCGGAUGCGCAGACUCAGCGGCCAUGCCUCACGGGCCCAGCCGCUCUGCGGCAUGUGGGAUCUUUCUGGACCAGGGCACGAACCCAUGUCCCCUGCAUCGGCAGGCAGACUCUC